GAGGGUAUAGCUCAGUGGUAGAGCACGCACCUAGUAGGUAUGAGGUCCUGGGUUCAAUCUCCAGUGCCUUCA
This 72-nucleotide transfer RNA is filed under the name Camelus bactrianus (Bactrian camel). It matches the Rfam family "tRNA". Rfam says of the family: Transfer RNA (tRNA) molecules are approximately 80 nucleotides in length. Their secondary structure includes four short double-helical elements and three loops (D, anti-codon, and T loops). Further hydrogen bonds mediate the characteristic L-shaped molecular structure. tRNAs have two regions of fundamental functional importance: the anti-codon, which is responsible for specific mRNA codon recognition, and the 3' end, to which the tRNAs corresponding amino acid is attached (by aminoacyl-tRNA synthetases). tRNAs cope with the degeneracy of the genetic code in two manners: having more than one tRNA (with a specific anti-codon) for a particular amino acid; and 'wobble' base-pairing, i.e. permitting non-standard base-pairing at the 3rd anti-codon position. The record is from Rfam by way of RNAcentral. RNAcentral also lists the same sequence under 1 other name. Lineage: Eukaryota; Metazoa; Chordata; Mammalia; Artiodactyla; Camelidae.